GCUGGGAUAGCUCAGUGGUAGAGCGUCCGGCUCUCGGACCGGAUGGACGCAGGUUCGAGCCCUGCUCCCAGCU
This 73-nucleotide transfer RNA is filed under the name Planctomycetaceae bacterium. Its description in RNAcentral is "tRNA-Glu". It matches the Rfam family "tRNA". From Rfam's summary of the family: Transfer RNA (tRNA) molecules are approximately 80 nucleotides in length. Lineage: Bacteria; Pseudomonadati; Planctomycetota; Planctomycetia; Planctomycetales; Planctomycetaceae. The record is from RNAcentral.